AUUAUGGAGAGUUUGAUCCUGGCUCAGGACGAACGCUGGCGGCGUGCCUAAUACAUGCAAGUCGAGCGGAGUUAUUUAGGAGCUUGCUCCUGAAUGACUUAGCGGCGGACGGGUG
Molecule: ribosomal RNA, 115 nt
Filed under: Cohnella terricola
Lineage: Bacteria; Bacillati; Bacillota; Bacilli; Caryophanales; Paenibacillaceae
Description: Bacterial small subunit ribosomal RNA
Rfam family: Bacterial small subunit ribosomal RNA
Source: Rfam by way of RNAcentral